This 229-nucleotide ribosomal RNA is filed under the name uncultured bacterium. Its description in RNAcentral is "partial 16S ribosomal RNA". It matches the Rfam family "Bacterial small subunit ribosomal RNA", at positions 107 to 334 of the family's 1533-position model. The record is from RNAcentral.
UGAGUAACACGUAUCCAACCUGCCGUCUACUCUUGGCCAGCCUUCUGAAAGGAAGAUUAAUCCAGGAUGGCAUCAUGAGUUCACAUGUCCGCAUGAUUAAAGGUAUUUUCCGGUAGACGAUGGGGAUGCGUUCCAUUAGAUAGUAGGCGGGGUAACGGCCCACCUAGUCAACGAUGGAUAGGGGUUCUGAGAGGAAGGUCCCUCACAUUGGAACUGAGACACGGUCCAA